GUAGGUGAACCUGCGGAAGGAUCAUUAAAUGAGGGCGUGUGGGCUAAUAUCCCCGCGAACCCUAAAUCCUUUGUUUACUGGCCCCAUUGUGGUUUUUACUUGGGCGCGGUUUGACUGGUGCCCAAAAGGCUGUAGUGUCACACCCUCCCAAAAAAUAAAAAACCACAAGACAAAAAAAUCUUAAUAAACACAAUUGAUGUCUGAAGUAAAUUAUUUAAACAAGCAAAACUUUCAACAACGGAUCUCUUGG
This 250-nucleotide unclassified non-coding RNA is filed under the name plant metagenome. Its description in RNAcentral is "partial contains small subunit ribosomal RNA, internal transcribed spacer 1, and 5.8S ribosomal RNA". The record is from RNAcentral.